RNAcentral lists this ribosomal RNA (497 nucleotides) under uncultured bacterium. RNAcentral describes it as "partial 16S ribosomal RNA". It matches the Rfam family "Bacterial small subunit ribosomal RNA", at positions 28 to 507 of the family's 1533-position model. The record is from RNAcentral.
GAUGAAUGCUGGCGGCGUGCCUAAUACAUGCAAGUCGAGCGAACAGAUGAGGAGCUUGCUCCUCUGACGUUAGCGGCGGACGGGUGAGUAACACGUGGAUAACCUACCUAUAAGACUGGGAUAACUUCGGGAAACCGGAGCUAAUACCGGAUAAUAUAUUGAACCGCAUGGUUCAAUAGUGAAAGACGGUUUCGCUGUCACUUAUAGAUGGAUCCGCGCCGCAUUAGCUAGUUGGUAAGGUAACGGCUUACCAAGGCAACGAUGCGUAGCCGACCUGAGAGGGUGAUCGGCCACACUGGAACUGAGACACGGUCCAGACUCCUACGGGAGGCAGCAGUAGGGAAUCUUCCGCAAUGGGCGAAAGCCUGACGGAGCAACGCCGCGUGAGUGAUGAAGGUCUUCGGAUCGUAAAACUCUGUUAUUAGGGAAGAACAAAUGUGUAAGUAACUAUGCACGUCUUGACGGUACCUAAUCAGAAAGCCACGGCUAACUACGUG